CUGGGUGCAGUACGGUGUAUGCAUUUUGAUUCCGCAUGCGCGGGUUAUGCAUGGUGCAAAGUCAUCCGGCCCACUGGCGCUUGAGUUUCCUCUCUGAGUGGGCGGCUAUUUAGUAUUCCCUGGGGAGGGGAGAUAUCGGUGCUGGGUGUCCUCCCUUUGGUCCAAAACGGCUCAGGUAAUAAUAUAUAUCCUUUGAGGUUCUUUCGCCGCCGUAUUCCUUACCAUGGAUGCCCAGGUAGCUGCGGUCUACAUGGGAAGGUGGACAAGGAUCAGAGGAUCGUUGGAAGCAGGAUAGGAGGGAAGUACCAGCGGACCCAAAGAGGAAGACCAGUUACCUCAAAGGAUUUGAAGGCAUGGAAAUGGCGCUGGUGGGAAAUCUACUUCAUUUCCACUGGCUCCGAGGAUCAAACGCCCUGUCACGGCUAUGGUGCUUGAAACCCCGGGAAAGAGAAUUGAGGAGGCCAGCUUACACGCAG
RNAcentral lists this small RNA (476 nucleotides) under Histoplasma ohiense. RNAcentral describes it as "hypothetical lncRNA". Lineage: Eukaryota; Fungi; Ascomycota; Eurotiomycetes; Onygenales; Ajellomycetaceae. The record is from RNAcentral.